RNAcentral lists this ribosomal RNA (220 nucleotides) under Escherichia coli. Its description in RNAcentral is "partial 16S ribosomal RNA". It matches the Rfam family "Bacterial small subunit ribosomal RNA", at positions 1 to 217 of the family's 1533-position model. The record is from RNAcentral. Lineage: Bacteria; Pseudomonadati; Pseudomonadota; Gammaproteobacteria; Enterobacterales; Enterobacteriaceae.
AAAUUGAAGAGUUUGAUCAUGGCUCAGAUUGAACGCUGGCGGCAGGCCUAACACAUGCAAGUCGAACGGUAACAGAAAGCAGCUUGCUGCUUUGCUGACGAGUGGCGGACGGGUGAGUAAUGUCUGGGAAACUGCCUGAUGGAGGGGGAUAACUACUGGAAACGGUAGCUAAUACCGCAUAAUGUCGCAAGACCAAAGAGGGGGACCUUCGGGCCUCUUG